AACGGCCGUACCAUGCUGAGUUACCGGUUCUCGUUAGAUCACCGAAGUUAAGCAUCAUUGGGCGCGGUCAGUACUUGGGUGGGUGACCACCUGGGAACACUGCGUGCCGUU
RNAcentral lists this ribosomal RNA (111 nucleotides) under Caerostris darwini. Lineage: Eukaryota; Metazoa; Arthropoda; Arachnida; Araneae; Araneidae. The record is from RNAcentral.